Molecule: long non-coding RNA, 229 nt
Filed under: Lathyrus oleraceus (garden pea)
Lineage: Eukaryota; Viridiplantae; Streptophyta; Magnoliopsida; Fabales; Fabaceae
Description: Pisum sativum (pea) long non-coding RNA (PSAT_LNC011531)
Source: RNAcentral
GGUUAAUACCUCUCUCCUUUUACCUUUUAGUUCAUUAUUUAUUUAUUUUUCUGUUGUUAUUAUUCAUUAUUCAAGCUUGAGAGAUAUUUGUUUUUUGACUUUGAAAGAGUAGAUUUUAGAGAGAUUAGUGAGAGAGAGGCUUGAGACAUUAAGAAUUUUUUUGUUUCCUCUGUUGUGUAUGUUACUGUUUCUUUUUUCUCUCUCUCUCUGCUUGUUGUUUAUCUUCUAC